UGUGGCCAUAACUUUAAGCACACGUGUGCGUGCUCAGUUGGCAGCCAUGGCUGGCGGGUACAUUCUCGCCGGUGCUGCGGCCCUCACCUUUUCUGCAUCUUCCGUCAUCGGGACACAGGCGCCGUGCAGGGGUAUUUCGAGUCCAGGUGGACAUCGAGGCCAGGUGAGUGGCCCCACAGCGUGGAAGGGAUGAUCGAGCUCUUCUGAAAGAUAUCCUGCCUAGGAAACCUAAGAUGCUGGAGCUUGAAAAGACUUGACGGCACUUCAGAGGUUGUCAGGCUGUCUCGGGAAACUUCUCCCAAACAGAUGCAGAAAUGGAGACGAAGAAAUGAGAUUCCAGCUGUGUCGUGGCCUCCCUUCUAGAAAGGAAUCUGCAGUUUCUGGUUCUUGGCCUAAGCUUGAUUCUGUUUGUCCUUCAGGUUUUGAAUAAGGAACCUGGCUGUGUGAUUGUCUGGCAUCUGAAUAGAAUAAACCAUGGGUAUUGUAGCCAGCUAGAGGAAAACACACCUGCUAAUUAGAAUACUUCUGGAGGCAAGAUCAAGCCAGCCUGGGCUACAAAAGACCUGGUCUCAAAAUAAUAAUAAAUGUGGUUUUUACCUUUGA
Grammomys surdaster is the source of this 603-nucleotide long non-coding RNA. RefSeq lists it as uncharacterized. The record is from RefSeq and is a predicted model, not a curated record. The transcript has 4 exons. NCBI's taxonomy places the organism in Eukaryota, Metazoa, Chordata, Mammalia, Rodentia, Muridae.